GACGAACGCUGGCGGCGUGCUUAACACAUGCAAGUCGAACGCUGAAGCUUGGUGCUUGCACUGGGUGGCUGAGUGGCGAACGGGUGAGUAAUACGUGAGUAACCUGCCCUUGACUCUGGGAUAAGCCUGGGAAACUGGGUCUAAUACUGGAUACGACAUGCCACUGCAUGGUGGUGUGUGGAAAGGGUUUUACUGGUUUUGGAUGGGCUCACGGCCUAUCAGCUUGUUGGUGGGGUAAUGGCCUACCAAGGCGACGACGGGUAGCCGGCCUGAGAGGGUGACCGGCCACACUGGGACUGAGACACGGCCCAGACUCCUACGGGAGGCAGCAGUGGGGAAUAUUGCACAAUGGGCGGAAGCCUGAUGCAGCGACGCCGCGUGAGGGAUGACGGCCUUCGGGUUGUAAACCUCUUUCAGCACGGAAGAAGCGAGAGUGACGGUACGUGCAGAAGAAGCGCCGGCUAACUACGUG
RNAcentral lists this ribosomal RNA (472 nucleotides) under uncultured bacterium. RNAcentral describes it as "partial 16S ribosomal RNA". It matches the Rfam family "Bacterial small subunit ribosomal RNA", at positions 28 to 507 of the family's 1533-position model. The record is from RNAcentral.